RNAcentral lists this ribosomal RNA (157 nucleotides) under Solanum tuberosum (potato). RNAcentral's name for it is "5.8S ribosomal RNA". It matches the Rfam family "5.8S ribosomal RNA". Rfam says of the family: 5.8S ribosomal RNA (5.8S rRNA) is a component of the large subunit of the eukaryotic ribosome. It is transcribed by RNA polymerase I as part of the 45S precursor that also contains 18S and 28S rRNA. Functionally, it is thought that 5.8S rRNA may be involved in ribosome translocation. Lineage: Eukaryota; Viridiplantae; Streptophyta; Magnoliopsida; Solanales; Solanaceae. The record is from Rfam by way of RNAcentral.
GAUGUUAGAUGUUAGAUAUCUCAAUUCUCGCAUUAAUGAAAAAUGUAGCUAAGUGAGCUAUUUGAUGUAAAAAUUGUAGAAUUCAUGAACUAUAGAAUUUUUAAAAGUAACUUGUGUCCAAAGUCAUUAGGUUGAAGACGCGUUUAUCUGAAUGUCA